GACGAACGCUGGCGGCGUGCCUAAUACAUGCAAGUAGAACGCUGAAGAGAGGAGCUUACUCUUCUUGGAUGAGUUGCGAACGGGUGAGUAACGCGUAGAUAACCUGCCUUGUAGCGGGGGAUAACUAUUGGAAACGAUAGCUAAUACCGCAUAACAAUGGAUGACACAUGUCAUUUAUUUGAAAGGGGCAAUUGCUCCACUACAAGAUGGACCUGCGUUGUAUUAGCUAGUAGGUGAGGUAAUGGCUCACCUAGGCGACGAUACAUAGCCGACCUGAGAGGGUGAUCGGCCACACUGGGACUGAGACACGGCCCAGACUCCUACGGGAGGCAGCAGUAGGGAAUCUUCGGCAAUGGGGGCAACCCUGACCGAGCAACGCCGCGUGAGUGAAGAAGGUUUUCGGAUCGUAAAGCUCUGUUGUAAGUCAAGAACGGGUGUGAGAGUGGAAAGUUCACACUGUGACGGUAGCUUACCAGAAAGGGACGGCUAACUACGUG
Molecule: ribosomal RNA, 497 nt
Filed under: uncultured bacterium
Lineage: Bacteria
Description: partial 16S ribosomal RNA
Rfam family: Bacterial small subunit ribosomal RNA
Source: RNAcentral